Molecule: ribosomal RNA, 496 nt
Filed under: uncultured bacterium
Lineage: Bacteria
Description: partial 16S ribosomal RNA
Rfam family: Bacterial small subunit ribosomal RNA
Source: RNAcentral
GACGAACGCUGGCGGCGUGCCUAAUACAUGCAAGUAGAACGCUGAAGCGAGGAGCUUGCUCUUCUUGGAUGAGUUGCGAACGGGUGAGUAACGCGUAGGUAACCUGCCUUGUAGCGGGGGAUAACUAUUGGAAACGAUAGCUAAUACCGCAUAACAAUGGAUGACCCAUGUCAUUUAUUUGAAAGGGGCAAAUGCUCCACUACAAGAUGGACCUGCGUUGUAUUAGCUAGUAGGUGAGGUAACGGCUCACCUAGGCGACGAUACAUAGCCGGCCUGAGAGGGUGAUCGGCCACACUGGGACUGAGACACGGCCCAGACUCCUACGGGAGGCAGCAGUAGGGAAUCUUCGGCAAUGGGGGCAACCCUGACCGAGCAACGCCGCGUGAGUGAAGAAGGUGUUCGGAUCGUAAAGCUCUGUUGUAAGUCAAGAACGAGUGUGAGAGUGGAAAGUUCACACUGUGACGGUAGCGUACCAGAAAGGGACGGCUAACUACGU